This 301-nucleotide ribosomal RNA is filed under the name uncultured bacterium. RNAcentral describes it as "partial 16S ribosomal RNA". It matches the Rfam family "Bacterial small subunit ribosomal RNA", at positions 509 to 809 of the family's 1533-position model. The record is from RNAcentral.
CAGCAGCCGCGGUAAAACGAAGGGUGCAAGCGUUACUCGGAAUUACUGGGCGUAAAGCGUGCGUAGGUGGUGGUUUAAGUCCGUUGUGAAAGCCCUGGGCUCAACCUGGGAAUUGCAGUGGAUACUGGGUCACUAGAGUGUGGUAGAGGAUAGUGGAAUUUCCGGUGUAGCAGUGAAAUGCGUAGAGAUCGGAAGGAACACCGAUGGCGAAGGCAGCCCCCUGGGCCAACACUGACGCUCAUGCACGAAAGCGUGGGGAGCAAACAGGAUUAGAUACCCCUGUAGUCCCUGUCUCUUAUAA